GUCUACAGCCACGCUACCUUGAACAAGCCCAAUCCCGUCUGAUCUUGGAAGCUAAGCAGGGUUGGGCCUCGUUAGUACCUGGAUGGGAGACCACCUAGGAAGAACAGGUGCUGUAGGCA
Molecule: non-coding RNA, 119 nt
Organism: Pteropus alecto (black flying fox)
Lineage: Eukaryota; Metazoa; Chordata; Mammalia; Chiroptera; Pteropodidae
Source: Rfam